CAAAGCACUUUGAAGAGAGAGUUAAAGAGGACGUGAAACCGAUAAGGUGGAAACGGAUAGAGCCAACGUAUCUGGCUUGUAUUCAGCUGCUGCCGGUGCUCUGACUUGCUUGGCAAUCCCGCUUCUGGUUGUCCAUAGCGAGUUGUUGUGUGCUGGUGGUAGUGCAUUUGCAAGUGGAGUGCGCUGAGGUGUGUGGUGUAGCGAUUCGAUCUUCGCUUUGAGGACACUUAACGUGAAACCCAGGCGUUGGGAAAAUCGUCUAUGCCGCAUUCCCGCCGAUGGAGAGGCGCUUGUGGAUUGGAGCUUGAUCGCGGGGAUUGCUUGUAACGGCCGCAUGCGACGCGUGCUCGUUGUCCUCGCGUUUGAGUGAGAUCCCCUCUCCGGUGAUCUCGGUGUAAAAGUUGGUCAUCUAUCCGACCCGUCUUGAAACACGGACCAAGGAGUUUAGCGUAUACGCGAGUCAUUGAGUGUUGAAACUCAAAGGCGCAAUGAAAGUGAAUCGAAAGUGAUAUGCGAUCCCUUGCACUCCGGUGUUUGGGAGCAGCAUAGCCCCGUUCCAAUCGCUUGCGAUGGGGCGGAGGUAGAGCGUAUUCGCUGAGACCCGAAAGAUGGUGAACUAUUCCUGAGCAGGAUGAAGCCAGAGGAAACUCUGGUGGAAGUCCGAAGCGGUUCUGACGUGCAAAUCGAUCGUCUGACUUGGGUAUAGGGGCGAAAGACUAAUCGAACCAUC
This 730-nucleotide ribosomal RNA is filed under the name Aglenchus sp. 1 TJP-2012. Its description in RNAcentral is "LSU rRNA". It matches the Rfam family "Eukaryotic large subunit ribosomal RNA", at positions 367 to 944 of the family's 3401-position model. Lineage: Eukaryota; Metazoa; Nematoda; Chromadorea; Rhabditida; Tylenchidae. The record is from RNAcentral.